This 281-nucleotide long non-coding RNA is filed under the name Scleropages formosus (Asian bonytongue). RNAcentral describes it as "lncRNA (ENSSFOG00015029729.1)". The record is from RNAcentral. Lineage: Eukaryota; Metazoa; Chordata; Actinopteri; Osteoglossiformes; Osteoglossidae.
GCAGGGCAGCCCCGGGGAGCGAGGCGCGGACGGCUUUCCCGGGUCGCCGGGCCCGAAGGGCACUCCAGGAGAACCCGGGAUUCAGGGGUUGCCGGGAAUCAUGGGAAUGCCAGGAUUUAAAGGACAUAAGGGCGAGACGGGAGCUCCGGGUUCGAAGGGAAAUAAGGUAUCACCUCCGAAGGAUUCCCUUGUUAAUCCAUCAGAUCGGAUCGCUCUCGUGCGUCCUUGGAUUCGACAGGAGUCAUAACAACACGUGUAGCGCAACACGGGCCCGAUACAAG